AGGGGCACAGGCCUGACCUUCUGUAUCACGAGAAUUUUGGUUGGAAGUAAAAGCAAAUCCUAUUUUUUGCUUAAUGCUGGCCUUGGAAAUGAAGUCCAAGUGGUGUGGCUGGCUUCAGAUAAGGCUUCAUCAGGAACUCUAAAUGAUGUCAUCAAGACCCGGUGUUCCCUGUUGUCUUUGGCCUCAGCUCUUCUCCAGAAUCACUGCGAAAGUUGAGGCUCUAGGUUGAGCUUUUCGGAGCGUCUCCGUAAGUCACACUGAGGAACUGGGCCACCAAGAGAGCGGCUGUGUCUUCUGCAAUCAGAAGGCACUGCCAACGAUGACUUCAGAAGACACCCCAGUCGUGAAACCGCUCUUCCAGCAGCUCCAGAAGCACGGUGUGCCUGACAUGAUCCAGGCACACUGGGUGCCCACGUCCUUCCUCUCAACACCCACCAAGCCAGCACCUGGACCCUUGAGUUUUGCUGACACCAUUGAGAAAAUUUCAACCUACUGAAAAAUUAGAAGAGGAAUACAAUGAGCACCUAUGAACGUUUCACCUAGAUUCGUCAACCAUUGACAUUUUGCCACAUUUGCUUUCUUUCCCUCUCUCUUACAGGAAGUUAGUUGCAAGUUUGCUGACAAUUUCCUCUGACCAGAUGAGCUAUUAUCUCACAAAAGCAAGGACGUUCUCCUCUAUUAUCACUAUUAUCACACUCAAUAAAUUUAAAUUGAUGCAAUAUUGCCUAAUAU
Molecule: non-coding RNA, 732 nt
Organism: Puma concolor (puma)
Lineage: Eukaryota; Metazoa; Chordata; Mammalia; Carnivora; Felidae
Source: RefSeq, a predicted model, not a curated record